CAGGUUUAGCUUUAACUCCUCUCAUUAUGAAUAGUGUACAGACAUUCUUUGUGAAUCCUACUAAUCUCCAACCUGCUUCUGAUGGAUUCUUUUACAACGAUGAAAUCAUAGAAAGUGUUCCAGUUUUGUUUCUGAUAAUGGGAAGUGUUACUGGUGGUAUUCUACUGAUUGGGCUGCUUAUGUACCGAGACUUACCACGAAGGUCAAAUCAGG
Molecule: long non-coding RNA, 213 nt
Organism: Limulus polyphemus (Atlantic horseshoe crab)
Lineage: Eukaryota; Metazoa; Arthropoda; Merostomata; Xiphosura; Limulidae
Exons: 2
Source: RefSeq, a predicted model, not a curated record